CCUACGGGUGGCAGCAGUGGGGAAUAUUGCGCAAUGGGCGAAAGCCUGACGCAGCGACGCCGCGUGAGGGAUGAAGGUCUUCGGAUCGUAAACCUCUGUCAGCAGGGACGAACGGUCACUGUGCUAAUCAGCAGUGAAUUGACGGUACCUGCAAAGGACGCACCGGCUAACUCCGUGCCAGCAGCCGCGGUAAUACUGAGGGUGCGAGCGUUAAUCGGAAUUACUGGGCGUAAAGCGCACGUAGGCGGUAUGUCAAGGCAAGGGUGAAAUGCCCGCGCGCAACGUGGGAACUGCCUUUGAAACGGGCAAACUGGAGUGUGUGAGAGGAUAGUGGAAUUCCAGGGGGAGGAGUGAAAUCCGUAGAUAUCUGGAGGAACAUCAGUGGCGAAGGCGACUAUCUGGCACAUAACUGACGCUGAGGAGCGAAAGCGUGGGUAGCAAACAGGAUUAGAUACCCUAGUAGUC
RNAcentral lists this ribosomal RNA (465 nucleotides) under uncultured bacterium. RNAcentral's name for it is "partial 16S ribosomal RNA". It matches the Rfam family "Bacterial small subunit ribosomal RNA", at positions 338 to 795 of the family's 1533-position model. The record is from RNAcentral.